AGUUCAAAUCGUGUGUCUUUACGUUUAGCCAUCUUUAGUGUGAUGUUAAAAUGCUUAAUUACUUUAUACAUUGAAUGCAACGAAUUAAAGUAAACUUGUUGUUCCUGUGCCUUAUCAGGUUGUAUGUAUUCAAUAACCAGUACUAGAUUUGCAAGCGAAUUGUCAAAUUCUAAAGACAAAAAUUUGUUCUCAUUUAAUUUUUUUUCAAAGGAAGGAUAACUUUCUUGAGGUCUGAAGAGCCAGGCAAUCCAUCCGGGAAGCCCUCCUGAGCAGGCUUGUGAGGAACUUUUUGAGGACCUGAAGUGGAAAAUUUGGCCACAUGGUAAUUAUUGCCAACCAAGGAACCCUGCCAAGCUUUAGAGGAUACCAAUGUUCCAGGCCAGGCAGAAGACCCUGUGCAAAAGUAAAUCUUCAAGGGAAGGCUGGAAAUACUUCUUAACGAAUUAUGCAUCUAUCAAGUUUCUCCUGUUUCUCCCCAGUCUGUUUUCAGAUAUCUACGAGUUAAUUUCUGGGGUGUAUUGGGGAAAGGUCUCAAGUGUGACAGAGAAGGCAGAAAUUCACCAGCAAAUCCAAACUGGGGAAAUCCCAGAGUUGAAGAGAAGAAACUUAAAGAAAGAAAAUCUUACAAAAAGAAACAUGCUUGGGGAUACUCUUGUUUGCUGGUAAAAUGAUCUGUAGAAAUUCUGAGAUAAGGGGUGUUAAAAGUAAGAAAAUGCAGGCAUAGUUAAUUAUCAGACUAUCAACUUUCCCCUUGUCUAACGGGAGCCAAAGAAUGGUGUUUCAAUGCCCAGCUUCUAGAUGAAAUAUGUAUUAGCAAACUGUUCUUUUAUAUCCCUUUAUUUUUGGAAUAUAUAAGGCCUUUAUAUUCCUUUAUUUUUGUUUUCAAAAAUUCCUAUGACAAUAUUCUGGUAUCCAUGCCACAUGAGGAUACAUUUCAUGCCAAAACCAGUUUAGGAAAUCUGCAGAUUAAAGGAGGAAUGUAUGCUGCAGCUGAGAGCAGACACUUCUAAGGCAUCUUGCAAGGGUAAGUUUAGAGUGGCAUACUCUUUGAAUACUGUCUGAGCAUCGACAAGAUUCAGAUAGACGCUGCAAACAAUGGAGUGUUGUGAAUUGUGUACAUCUCUAGAAGUAAUUUGGUGGCAUAUAGUUAACACAAUCCAUCCAUAUUUGAGCAAACCCAAGCAAUUUAUAUUUCCUGGAUGUCAGCUUGAACAGGAGCUUAGAAGGAUGGUGAUGCUUCAGUCUCAUUUUAGAUAAAAAUAAUGGAUAAUCAUGUAUUUACACAGUAAUUUAUGUCAGAAGUAUGUCAAGUAUGAAAAUAGGACCUUUAUACAUUACUGUUGAGAGCAUAAAUGGUUACUAACUUCCAUGAAGGGCAAUUUGGAAAUGUAUAUACAAAAGCUUAGAAAUACUCAUGAUCUUCGAAUCGUCAAUUUUCCAAUAAAAUAAAAAGAUAAAUGUUCAGGGUGAUAUAGCUUAUUUAUUAUGUUAUCACUGUGCUUACAAUAAGGAAAAUCUGGAAAGAGCCUAUAGAAGCAGAAGUAGAGGAAUUUUUAAUAUGAUUUAUUCACACAAUAGAAUAUUUUGCAGUGUCUAUAAUGAUAAAAAUUUAUGAUUAUUGACAUGGAAAUAUAUUUUUAAAUUAUAAAAUAAGACUACAAAAUAAUAUUUAAAACAUUAUCUCAUUCUGUAACAAUGUAUUAUUUGUUUGCUGGUAUCUAUGAAUAAAAUGUCUCUCAGAUAAUUGAAUUACAUCUUAAGCUUUGUCAUUGACUUAAACUUAUGUGUUUCCUAUUCUUUCCCAUCACAAAAGUUUGUGACUACAACGUCAUAUAAGACUCUAUUGUUAAAAAAAGACUUUUACGCAUAUCUAAGUUUACAAUUAGAAUUUUGAUUUUCACUACCACCUUCUCAAAAUAAUUCAAAGUUCUCAAAAAUCCAAUUAAAGUUCAUAAUUUACUAUUAUAUAUUUCUCUUAGGAAACACAUGUUUUUCCGUGUUGAAUUGGAUAAAAUGGUUAACGCAUGGGGUUCACGGACUUCUGCCUCCCCUUUUGCCUUCUUUUUUUUUUUUUUUUUCUCACUUCCAUCCUGAGAAGAAACAAAAUUUCAUGAAUGGAUGAAGAAAGUAGAGAGGGAUUCAGAACAAAUAAAUUUUCUUCCUAAUUCCAAGCACCAGGAAGUCAGGAAGUAUCCUGAGUGUAUUACGAGAAACUGCACUUUGGAGUAGCAGUGGAGAAGGAGGACCAAAGUGUAAGAAAAGGUGAGAUGAGUGAGAAAAUUCUUCCUAGAUAAGAAGGAGGUGCCUGAGAAUUUGUGGCGACUUACGUUAAUAACAUUUGCUGUAGUCUAAGUAUUUGCAGCUCCUUAAAAAUAGAGAGGGACACGAAUGAAGAUUAAUGUGUUCAUUUUUGGGUUAGAGUCUAUAUGUGAGACACUGCUUCUGGAUAGGACUUAGGAGUGACAGCUUUCUAAACAUUAUUUGUGUAUCUAGAGAAUUCUGUCCACAUGCUCUCAUCAGACGAAUUCUUGCUUUUGUGCUUUUGAUCACUUCUUGAAACUCUAUUCUGUGUCAAAAGAGGAACAACAGUUUGUCUAUUCCUAAAUCAAUCCCCCCAAAAAUACAGACUAGGGCUUUAUAAUCAAUUGUGAAAUAUCUUGUUUCCUCCCAAGAUCAUAUUAAAGAUUUGUUUUCAGUUCUUUAAUUGCAGUUUUUAGUGACCAUGAUAAGCUUCACUAAAAUAAACAUUAGGAAGUAAAAUAAUAAUUUAUAAAGGAACUAUCUAGAAAAAUAUGUAGGUGUUCUCCACACAUGAAAUUUAGGAAAACAGGAUGGAUUCAGAGAUGAAAGGAAUGACAUAUUGUCUUUCUUGCUAACAUAGAUUCUUAAUUACCCUAUAGAUUGCAUCUGCAGUCUCAGGAAAUAUUAAAGCCCAUUUUAAUCUAGAUAAGUCAUCAUAUAGCCUUUGUAAAUAUAAAGCCCAAAUAUCACAAUGCUUUGUUCAAGCUGAAACCUAAUAUGUAUGAAAAUUAAACUCUGUUACAGUACAUGAGGGUUUCAUAAAAUAUUUAUGACCAGA
Aotus nancymaae (Ma's night monkey) is the source of this 3079-nucleotide long non-coding RNA. NCBI's taxonomy places the organism in Eukaryota, Metazoa, Chordata, Mammalia, Primates, Aotidae. The record is from Ensembl.